RNAcentral lists this ribosomal RNA (505 nucleotides) under uncultured bacterium. RNAcentral describes it as "partial 16S ribosomal RNA". It matches the Rfam family "Bacterial small subunit ribosomal RNA", at positions 28 to 507 of the family's 1533-position model. The record is from RNAcentral.
GACGAACGCUGGCGGCGUGCCUAAUACAUGCAAGUAGAACGCACAGUUUAUACCGUAGCUUGCUACACCAUAGACUGUGAGUUGCGAACGGGUGAGUAACGCGUAGGUAACCUGCCUGGUAGCGGGGGAUAACUAUUGGAAACGAUAGCUAAUACCGCAUAAUAUUGAUUAUUGCAUGAUAAUUGAUUGAAAGAUGCUAUUGCAUCACUACCAGAUGGACCUGCGUUGUAUUAGCUAGUAGGUGAGGUAACGGCUCACCUAGGCGACGAUACAUAGCCGACCUGAGAGGGUGAUCGGCCACCCUGGGACUGAGACACGGCCCAGACUCCUACGGGAGGCAGCAGUAGGGAAUCUUCGGCAAUGGACGAAAGUCUGACCGAGAAACGCCGAGUGAGUGAAGAAGGUUUUCGGAUCGUAAAGCUCUGUUGUAAGAGAAGAACGGGUGUGAGAGUGGAAAGUUCACACUGUGACGGUAUCUUACCAGAAAGGGACGGCUAACUACGUG